Molecule: non-coding RNA, 72 nt
Organism: Daphnia pulex (common water flea)
Lineage: Eukaryota; Metazoa; Arthropoda; Branchiopoda; Diplostraca; Daphniidae
Source: Rfam
GCGAUGGUGGUAUAGUGGUUAGCAUAGUUGCCUUCCAAUCAAUUGACCCGAGUCCGAAUCUCGGCUAUCGCA